CCUACGGGUGGCAGCAGUGGGGAAUAUUGGGCAAUGGGCGCAAGCCUGACCCAGCAACGCCGCGUGAAGGAAGAAGGCUUUCGGGUUGUAAACUUCUUUUGACAGGGAAGAGUAGAAGACGGUACCUGUCGAAUAAGCCACGGCUAACUACGUGCCAGCAGCCGCGGUAAUACGUAGGUGGCAAGCGUUGUCCGGAUUUACUGGGUGUAAAGGGCGUGUAGCCGGGUUGACAAGUCAGAUGUGAAAUCCUGCGGCUUAACCGCAGAACUGCAUUUGAACCUGUUGAGCGUGAGUACGGGAGAGGUAGGAGGAAUGCGUGGUGUAGCGAUGAAAUGCAUAGAUAUUAGGAGGAACACC
Molecule: ribosomal RNA, 357 nt
Filed under: uncultured bacterium
Lineage: Bacteria
Description: partial 16S ribosomal RNA
Rfam family: Bacterial small subunit ribosomal RNA
Source: RNAcentral